CUUGAAGGGGAGGUUUCUAAAAGUGAAACUGUCUAUAUGACGGUAUUGAUGACGGGGCAAGAGCAAAAGUGAUAGAGCACACACACAUGCUCCAAUCCAUUAGAAAAAGACAAUCUUCGACCAUUCCCAAUUGUCACGUUUCCCCCACACACAUUCAAUUUAUCAUCUUUUAAAUGGUGAAAAAGUUUCGCCGAAACAGAAAAAUCAAAACUGUGUCGGUCAAAGUUCGUGGUCAAUAAACUUGUUUUUGUGAAGGAUCAGAAGGUGAAGCUUACUUUUUAAAGAGCGUGUGAUUUUUCCUGGAUUUUUAGUAAAUGAUUUUCGAGAUACGCAGCGAACAAAGUUAUGAUUUUUGACCCGGAACUUAUUUGGAGACCUAAUACUAACCAUAUUAAUUCAAUAAAUUUAUUUGAGAAGAUCUUCAGGUGAGUAAAUUUAAUUUUAAUUGGAAAAGUAUAAAAGUUGCUUGUUUCUGUUUUUUAUUUCCACUUGAACUGUCAUGGUUGGAAACAAGGUGAUGUGAAGUAAUAGCAACUUGAAGAUAAUCUUAAUUAUUUCUAGCCAAUAUUUUGAGUCGACACAGCAAAUUUUGUCCUCGACAGGCCACCCAAACCAGCUGUGAUGACACCUUUUGUCUGGUGUAAACACUAUUUAUCUCUCUUAUCUCUUCUAUUAUAUUUUUCUUUGUUGUUAAUUGUGGGUGUCCAUGACAACUUGGAACAUUGCUUUAUUCAUGUUUUGUUUUGUCAACGAAAACAUCAGAUGUUAGGAAAAGGUGCAUCUUAUCUUUAAAUUUGAAAUAAACAACAUGGUACAAAGAACAUUUGAAAUAAUCUGGAAGAAAAUUUUGAAACGGUUUGCUUAAAUAUGGAAAUAUUUUUUUGGAAAAAUUGCAAAAUAAAUUUCAGAUGUCUGGAAAAUCAAAUGUCGAUUUCGCGAGGGACCAACCCAAGGAAUGAGAGAGGUUCGUCGGGAACAAACGAGCAAUGGAGAAUUCCCGAAAGUUCAAAAAUAUUCUAGUUUAAUUGUUUUCCAAUUUUUGUGCUUUUUUUUUGCUUUAAGCUCCAUAAUCUUUAAAUAUUUGUUCAAAAAAUCUCACAAAAGU
Caenorhabditis elegans is the source of this 1105-nucleotide long non-coding RNA. Ensembl annotates it as ncRNA. Its record names the gene linc-135. Lineage: Eukaryota; Metazoa; Nematoda; Chromadorea; Rhabditida; Rhabditidae. The record is from Ensembl.